AAAUUGAAGAGUUUGAUCAUGGCUCAGAUUGAACGCUGGCGGCAGGCCUAACACAUGCAAGUCGAGCGGAAACGAGUUAUCUGAACCUUCGGGGAACGAUAACGGCGUCGAGCGGCGGACGGGUGAGUAAUGCCUAGGAAAUUGCCCUGAUGUGGGGGAUAACCAUUGGAAACGAUGGCUAAUACCGCAUGAUGCCUACGGGCCAAAGAGGGGGACCUUCGGGCCUCUCGCGUCAGGAUAUGCCUAGGUGGGAUUAGCUAGUUGGUGAGGUAAGGGCUCACCAAGGCGACGAUCCCUAGCUGGUCUGAGAGGAUGAUCAGCCACACUGGAACUGAGACACGGUCCAGACUCCUACGGGAGGCAGCAGUGGGGAAUAUUGCACAAUGGGCGCAAGCCUGAUGCAGCCAUGCCGCGUGUGUGAAGAAGGCCUUCGGGUUGUAAAGCACUUUCAGUCGUGAGGAAGGC
Molecule: ribosomal RNA, 465 nt
Filed under: Vibrio parahaemolyticus
Lineage: Bacteria; Pseudomonadati; Pseudomonadota; Gammaproteobacteria; Vibrionales; Vibrionaceae
Description: bacterial SSU rRNA
Rfam family: Bacterial small subunit ribosomal RNA
Source: RNAcentral